This 561-nucleotide ribosomal RNA is filed under the name Triticum aestivum (bread wheat). RNAcentral's name for it is "partial small subunit ribosomal RNA". Lineage: Eukaryota; Viridiplantae; Streptophyta; Magnoliopsida; Poales; Poaceae. The record is from RNAcentral.
AUGGCGAUGGUGCUGGAUGCAUUUGUGUCCUACCUGGUGGACAUGCUCACGCAGGCAGCAAGAGAUGAGGUGAAGACUAUGUUGGGCGUCUCCGGCGAGAUCGACAAGAUGGGAGACAAGCUUCGAGACCUCAAGAACUUCCUGGCCGAUGCCGAUAGGAGGAACCUCACCGACGAGACUGUUCAAGAUUGGGUGGGGCAGCUCAAGCGUGCCAUGUAUGAAGCUACCGACAUCCUUGACCUCUGCCAACUCAAGGCCAUGAAGCAUGGAUCAUCCUCGGUUAAUGCAGGGUGUUUCAAUCCCUUGCUCUUCUGCAUGCGAAACCCUUUCCAUGCUCAUGAGAUCGGCACCCGCAUCAAGGCGCUCAACCAGAGGCUUGACGACAUCAAGGAACGGAGCGUUGCUUUAAACUUCAUCAAUCAUGGGUCCUAUGAGGAUCAUAGCAGCAACACCCAUGCCUCUCGCCAUGGUAAUCCAAGCCUCGGCCUCUGCAUCUGGGCGAUGCAUACGGCCACUUUAUUAAUUAUUGUCACAAGACCUAACAAAGUAAUACAGCAGUAA